CCAGGGAGAUAGGGGUGCCAACUCCUCCUGCUAUUGAGAAUAUAAUCGUAGGACUCCAAUAUUCUUGAGGGAGUCCUAGAAUUUUAACCCAACACUGAGAGUGUGUGAUCUUUUGAAGGGAGGGAUUGAAGUCAGGCGUCCAUAGUGAGAGUCUUAGGAUUCCUGGCUUGAGAUUCCAGGAUCCUAUUGAGCACACCUUCCUCAUAUCCUCUCCUGAAGAGAAUGAGAAAUCAUAGAAACCCCUGCCCAGUGAAAUCAUGUUCCAUUUUCCCGCCAGUGCCCAGAGAGAAGAGAGUUUGGUUUUGAGUUCAGGGAACUUUAAUGGCUGGUCUCCUUUUGAGAGGAUAAUUCUACCAUGUAAAUGGUUUUUGCAUCUCUGUAAUCCAGCUUGGUACUCUGCCUC
This 403-nucleotide long non-coding RNA is filed under the name Lupinus angustifolius (narrow-leaved blue lupine). RNAcentral's name for it is "long non-coding RNA (LANG_LNC003590)". Lineage: Eukaryota; Viridiplantae; Streptophyta; Magnoliopsida; Fabales; Fabaceae. The record is from RNAcentral.